This is a long non-coding RNA of Balaenoptera musculus (blue whale), 3051 nucleotides long. RefSeq lists it as uncharacterized. The transcript is spliced from 3 exons. Lineage: Eukaryota; Metazoa; Chordata; Mammalia; Artiodactyla; Balaenopteridae. The record is from RefSeq and is a predicted model, not a curated record.
CUUUGUUCCUUGAUGAGGGAGACAGAUAUGGGAGCUAAACUCCAGGAGAUGCUCCAUUCCUUACCUGCAUCAACUCUCUCCAAGGCUAUCCUUAGGUCCUCAUCUGCCCUGAAUUUGGGAAGUCAAGACUUCCAGAAACCUUCAGGCAGGAGUCUGCCCCAGGAGGCUGGCCUCAUGGCAGCUACUCUCCAUUCUUCCCCAUCAGCCUUCUGACACCACCACAUCCCCAAGGCCUGGCACAGCACCAGGCAUGUGUGCAGCAGCCUGGGAACUCAGGAUAAUGGAUCCUCGAACAUGUAUAAUGCAGGAUGGAAAAGCAUCUUUCUCCUCUGGGGCUGGCAAUGUAAUUUCAUACUAAAUUUACUGCGGUUUAUGUAAUUCUUUUCAUUCACACCAGAAGGAGUUUCUUUGCUGCUUCCCUUUUCAGAAACUUGGAGACCAUAUAUCUUUGCAAAGUAGAUUUUUAAAAAUAAAACAGAGAAGAAAAACCAGAGAAGCUCUUAAGUUUCCGGCCUUCUGCCUGGACCAGCUUAUUAUGCUUCUUCCUUUCCAGAAUUGAUAUGGUAAAUGUUAAUGCAGUAGCACUGGCUCUGAAAAGCCUAGGUCUUCCAAGAAAGCAACCUUCAAGGAGGAAUUCUGCAGCUUCCUCUCCUCUGGGGAGUUGGAGGAGCCAGAGGUUGGGGAAAAGACAGAGACAGAAUUGCCCCAUCAGUGACUUUCAGGAGAAUGUGAACAGGUGACACAGAUCUUAUCUCCAUGUGUUCCUACUCUUUUUCCACUGUCUGUCUCCUGAGCCAUCUCUGAUUCCUUCAAAGGCCUUUGCUGGCAGUGUCCAAAGUGUCCAAGCUCCUCUGUCUCCUGGAAGAAUCUACCUCUUUCUGCUCCUCAAUGAAGGAAGGACAGAGCCAGGAGAUGGAGCAGAAGAGGGGCAGGCCAAGCUCACCAGAGGGCAUAUGUCUUGGAUACUGGGAUCCUAGCCAGUCUGGACGUUGGUCCUUUCAAAAUCCUCACCACCACAUUUCUAAUACUGGGAAUAUCGAUCUUGAGCUGAACUUAGAAUAAAAUCCUCCCUCAAAUUGCACAAAGCCCUGUAAGCAGCUUCCUCCAGCCCUUUUUCCAACCCCAUCAGAUGCCAUCGCCUAUCACACCUGGGCACAGUGAUGUCGUUUCUGCUUCUUUAACACACCAGGCUCUUUCCUGCCUUCGGGGAAGCCAUCCCCUUUACUUGGAAGUCUGUGCUGUAUACAUCAGCUGGCUCCUCAAGCUUUGCACGGGAACCUAAUUGUCUUCUUGUCAGAGAGGUCUCCCCGACCACCCUUUCUACAGCAGAUCUCCCCCACCUCCCAUUCCCUCACAUGUUAAAUUUCCUUCAUAGUAUUUUGCACAAGUCAUGAUCUCCUUUAUGUGCAAUUUGUCUACUGUCUGAGUCCUCCACUGCAAUGUUCUCCAAGGGUGGAGACCACAUCUUUCUUGUCCCUGCUCAAUCUCCAGUGCUUAACACAGGGCUCAGACUCAACAAACAUUUAUCAAACGGAUAAUUGAAUUCCAGCUGUCUGUGGUGCACACAGACUGCGAACUCUUGAGGGCAGGGGCUUCUUUCCUCUCUGCAGCCCCAGCACAUGGUGCAGAGAAGACUCUGGCACUAUUUAUGAAUAAAUGAAAUUGUCCCCCUCAUUCUGUAUUAGAGCCGUUCUACUCCUAACUCCUGUAGAGGAGUCCAUCUGAUCAACCAGAGACCAGGAAGGCAGAGCAGGCCAGGCAUGCUGCAGGCCACAUGCCAGUGUCCAAUUAUCAGGUGACAUCAUCUCCAGAUGAGUUGGAAAGAAAAUGAUUAUCGUAAACAGUCACAGCCCAUUGACUAUUUCUCUGGCAUUUAUAAUCACUGUUAGACAGCUGCGCCUGGUCCCUUUCCCACGCCUGCUCUAGAGAGCUGAGGUUUUCUGUUGGGUUUUGGUAAGGGUGUUUUUCCUGGCUCAUUGCUGGAAAAGGCUUUGGAGAGCUUCUAGUAUCUAGCCCAACCUCUCACCCUUCUCAGUCCCUCCACCUCUCCAAGGUCAAGGAACGCACCAUUUCAAGAGGCAGGGCCUCCUGUCCUGCACAGCUCUGGGCUUUGCAAUUUCUUGCCCAGGUGGAAGCCAAAAAGUCCUUCCUGUGAUUUCAUCUGUUGGUCUAGACUCUCCCACCUGGGACCACAUUCUAAGGAUGGCCCCAUAGACAUAUAAGAUGAUACUGGGUCUUUCUGUGGCCCCAGCAAUUAUUCUACCCCAGUGACACUUCCUGUUCCUUUGUCACUGCUGUUCAUUUCUUCUUUCCUGUGGGCCCCAGGCCUCUCCAAGGGGGCCUCUGUUCACACUGGCUGGCAUGCUCUUGCCCCAAACCCAAUCAGUAGGAAGUGGGAACCCAGUAUCUCAAAUUCCCUCUGUUGUGUUUAAGGUACCUUCCCUACCCCUAGGGUUGCAGAAGGAAGGAGGAGUUAUUUUGCUUCCUUGAUCAGGGGUGAUCAAGAAACCAAAAAUGAUGAAGUUUCAGAAUCCUACUAUCUUUUUACACAUCAUGGUCCCGAAUCUGUAACUGCCCUUCUUGCUAAGAUGGUAACUGGGCACCUCAUUGAGGAACGACUUUUACUAUCUUGAGGGUGGGAUUUGUAACAGUCCCCUUUCUUCUAACUCUUCCCUCUUAGGCUCCUCACUCUGGAAGAUGUUGCUAUUAGGUGUGCCUUAGUCUCAGGUGGGCAGUUUGCUUCUCCAAGUGGCUUUAAAUUGGGGAGCAGCCAACCCUUGUCUUUAUCUCUAAGGAAUAGCACAGCUGUGGGGAUUUCCUUAUAGUCCCGACCCUCCUCUUAGGAGAGGUUAGCAGCCCUAGUCCCCAAGUCAUUCUCAUGUGCCAUGGUCUCAAGUCCCUUCUCCUGCCUGACAGUUUCCCUCUGGUCAUUCUUUAGCCCAUCAGUGUCAGGAAUAAUAAUAAUGGAUUGUUGUUAUGAGAUUAAGCCAGUGAUAUAAGAAUACCCAAAUCCUGCCUUCAAAUAAUCUGUAUCUCCAUAUGUUGGCUUGU